GACGAACGCUGGCGGCGGGCUUAACACAUGCAAGUCGAACGGAAAGGCCCUGCGUUUGUGGGGUGCUCGGGUGGCGAACGGGUGAGUAACACGUGAGUAACCUGCCCUUGACUUUGGUAUAACUUCAGGAAACUGGGGCUAAUACCGGAUAGGAGCUCAUGCUGCAUGGUGGGGGUGGGAAAGUUUCGGCGGUUGGGGAUGGACUAGCGGCUUAUCAGCUUGUUGGUGGGGGAGUGGCUUACCAAGGAUUGGGCGGGUAGCCCGCCCGAGAGGGUGACCGGCCACAUGGGGACUGCGAUACGGACCAGUCUCCUAUGGGGGGCAGCGGGCGGGAAUAUUGCCCAAUGGUCGCAAGCCUGAUGCAGCAACGCCGCGUUCGUGAUGACGUCCUUCGGGUUAUAAACCGCUUUCGCCUGUGACGAAGCGUUAGUGACGGUAAUGGGUAAAGAAGCACAGGCUAACUACGUG
This 468-nucleotide ribosomal RNA is filed under the name uncultured bacterium. RNAcentral describes it as "partial 16S ribosomal RNA". It matches the Rfam family "Bacterial small subunit ribosomal RNA", at positions 28 to 507 of the family's 1533-position model. The record is from RNAcentral.